GCCAACUUAGUAUAGUGGUUUGAGUGUUGGACUAUGACUCUGGAGAUCAGGGUUCGAUUCCCAGCUCAAGCA
Phrynosoma platyrhinos (Desert horned lizard) is the source of this 72-nucleotide non-coding RNA. NCBI's taxonomy places the organism in Eukaryota, Metazoa, Chordata, Lepidosauria, Squamata, Phrynosomatidae. The record is from the annotation of a GenBank genome assembly.